GCCCUGAUAGUAUAAUCAUUACCUUGGUCUUGUAAACCAAAAAUGAAGAUUAACUCUUCUCAAGGCA
This 67-nucleotide transfer RNA is filed under the name Mus pahari (shrew mouse). Its description in RNAcentral is "tRNA-Thr". It matches the Rfam family "tRNA". From Rfam's summary of the family: Transfer RNA (tRNA) molecules are approximately 80 nucleotides in length. Their secondary structure includes four short double-helical elements and three loops (D, anti-codon, and T loops). The record is from RNAcentral. Lineage: Eukaryota; Metazoa; Chordata; Mammalia; Rodentia; Muridae.